This 774-nucleotide ribosomal RNA is filed under the name uncultured Neocallimastigales. RNAcentral describes it as "partial large subunit ribosomal RNA". It matches the Rfam family "Eukaryotic large subunit ribosomal RNA", at positions 18 to 643 of the family's 3401-position model. The record is from RNAcentral. Lineage: Eukaryota; Fungi; Neocallimastigomycota; Neocallimastigomycetes; Neocallimastigales.
UCAGACGAUGCGUCAUGCAUAUCAAUAAGCGGAGGAAAAGAAACUAACAAGGAUUCCCCUAGUAACGGCGAGUGAAGCGGGAAGAGCUCAAAUUUGAAAUCUUAAAGGGUUUCCCUUUACGAAUUGUAGUUUAAAGAAGUGUUUUCUGUUGAGGUUUUGGUAAAAGUUCUUUGGAAUAGGACAUCAUAGAGGGUGAGAAUCCCGUAUUUGACCUUUACUUUCAACUUUGUGAUACACUUUCAAAGAGUCGGAUUGUUUGGGAAUGCAGUCCAAAAUGGGUGGUAAAUUUCAUCUAAAGCUAAAUAUUGGCGAGAGACCGAUAGCGAACAAGUACCGUGAGGGAAAGAUGAAAGGAACUUUGAAAAGAGAGUUAAACAGUACGUGAAAUUGUCAAAAGGGAAGCGUUUGACACCAGUGUUGUUUUUCUGAAAAUCAAUUAAAGAACUGUUUAUGCUAAGUUGUUUAGACUUUAUCAGCUAUCUGUUUAGUUUUGAGCUUUUCUUUAAUGCACUUUUCAGUUAACAAGUCAACAUCAAUUUCUUUUGCUGUAAAAAAGCUUGAGGAAGGUGGCUUGAGAUUCGUCUUAAGUGUUUAUAGCCUCUUGCCUAUGCAGUCGGAGAGAUUGAGGUCUGCAGCGUAGAUCCUUCGGGGCUAAAUGCAUUUGUGCUAAGUUAUAGCAUUUUAUAGACAACUUGUUGACUAUGAUUUGUCUUGUAGCUUACUCGCUUAUGUUAUUUUACCUACGCUUAGGAUGUUGACACACGCGCGUGCUCG